AAAAAUUAUCGUCUUUGUGUGAAUGUUGAGCAGGGCCACACGUGGUACUUCUGGACUUCAGUCAUGCAUCUGCAUCCAAGGAUAGGGCAGCCAGAGAGGAAGACGUUGCAAUCUACCGCUCAGAGAUGAACAGUGCCAGAAGUAGGAGGGAACAAUGAACAAUAUCUGCCGAUUUAAUGAUUCGUCCUCAGUCGUGAAGCGCAAGUGCCACACUUGUGAAGGUGCCAGUCCUUACGGUGUAAGUAACCUAUUGAAGGUGCCCAAUCCAGUAUGUCUUCCCAUAUCUGGUAUCUAAGUUCAUUUUUGCCCUGGGGCACUUAAUUAUAACGGGGUCAAGACAGUCAAUAUCCAGCAGUCACCUUCAUACAUUAUGGUCGAAGAUUACAGCCAAUCAGCUGCGGAGCAAGUAAGGCAGCAGCAACCUGACAAACUCACAUUCGUCACCUUAUUGUUCUUGGCCAGAUGCUUUCAUUGCUGACUUCAAUCGUGCACUAGAGGAGACACCCUGCGCCUGACAAUGCAAAUGCAGGCUAGACUGUCUGAAAACUAACAGACAAAACAUUAAGUCCCAGUGAAUUCGUCAUUCUCUCAAACACAAGGGCCAAAGCUGCUCACAACGCCGGGAAGACACUUAGGAAUUGUUGCUUCUGCAUGGACUCAUGUGCAGCCUUUACUGAUGCUUCUAGGCUUGCCAUAACUUUUGAUGGAAUACAAUUUUCUUAUAAUAUCAAAUAAUACUGCUCACCUGCAGGUUAUGCGUUGGUGAUCUACAAGUACACUAAGCCGAACUGUAAGAAAACAAAGUUGUCUACCUCCCCGAAACAUGGUUAUAACACACAGAAUGAAAUUGCAUAUGCUUCUGGGU
RNAcentral lists this long non-coding RNA (865 nucleotides) under Coccomyxa subellipsoidea. RNAcentral's name for it is "long non-coding RNA (CSUB_LNC000319)". The record is from RNAcentral. Lineage: Eukaryota; Viridiplantae; Chlorophyta; Trebouxiophyceae; Coccomyxaceae.